UCCCAGACUCCUACGGGAGGCAGCAGUGAGGAAUAUUGGUCAAUGGGCGAGAGCCUGAACCAGCCAAGUCGCGUGAGGGAAGACGGUCCUAUGGAUUGUAAACCUCUUUUGCCGGGGAACAAAACCCGGGACGUGUCCCGGACUGCGUGUGUCCGAAGAAAAAGCAUCGGCUAACUCCGUGCCAGCAGCCGCGGUAAUACGGAGGAUGCGAGCGUUAUCCGGAUUUAUUGGGUUUAAAGGGUGCGCAGGCGGAUUUUUAAGUCAGCGGUCAAAUCGUGGGGCUCAACCCCAUCCAGCCGUUGAAACUGGGGAUCUAGAGUGUGCGAGAGGUAUGCGGAAUGCGUGGUGUAGCGGUGAAAUGCAUAGAUAUCACGCAGAACCCCGAUUGCGAAGGCAGCAUACCGGUGCACAACUGACGCUCAGGCACGAAAGCGUGGGUAUCGAACAGGAUUAGAUACCCCAGUAA
Molecule: ribosomal RNA, 466 nt
Filed under: uncultured bacterium
Lineage: Bacteria
Description: bacterial SSU rRNA
Rfam family: Bacterial small subunit ribosomal RNA
Source: RNAcentral